RNAcentral lists this ribosomal RNA (492 nucleotides) under uncultured bacterium. Its description in RNAcentral is "partial 16S ribosomal RNA". It matches the Rfam family "Bacterial small subunit ribosomal RNA", at positions 29 to 507 of the family's 1533-position model. The record is from RNAcentral.
AGCGAACGCUGGCGGUAGGCCUAACACAUGCAAGUCGAACGGCAGCACAGUAAGAGCUUGCUCUUACGGGUGGCGAGUGGCGGACGGGUGAGGAAUACAUCGGAAUCUACUUUUUCGGGGGGGAUAACGUAGGGAAACUUACGCUAAUACCGCAUACGACCUACGGGUGAAAGCAGGGGAUCUUCGGACCUUGCGCGAUUGAAUGAGCCGAUGUCGGAUUAGCUAGUUGGCGGGGCAAAGGCCCACCAAGGCGACGAUCCGUAGCUGGUCUGAGAGGAUGAUCAGCCACACUGGAACUGAGACACGGUCCAGACUCCUACGGGAGGCAGCAGUGGGGAAUAUUGGACAAUGGGCGCAAGCCUGAUCCAGCCAUACCGCGUGGGUGAAGAAGGCCUUCGGGUUGUAAAGCCCUUUUGUUGGGAAAGAAAAGCAGCAGGUUAAUACCCCGCUGUUCUGACGGUACCCAAAGAAUAAGCACCGGCUAACUUCGUG